Theobroma cacao (cacao) is the source of this 2214-nucleotide RNA transcript. It is a transcript of the gene named translocase 11, with no coding region annotated. NCBI's taxonomy places the organism in Eukaryota, Viridiplantae, Streptophyta, Magnoliopsida, Malvales, Malvaceae. The record is from RefSeq and is a predicted model, not a curated record.
GCCCCCUUCACGGUCUCAAUGGGCGCGUCCCUUACGAAACCCAGACGGCCUUCCAAAUCUCAACGUUUCUUCCGACUUCCGGUAUUUUCAAAGUUUCCUUUUUUUUUUUUUAUUUGGUUUUGUUUUGGAACAAAAACAGCCCCCGGCUUUCCUCGCAACAACCAUUUUCAGUUCGUCACUCGAAAUCUCGAAAUUAUCGUUGUGGAAUGGCCCCCGAUAUCUCCAUCAAAUGAAUUUUUGAUCUUAUUUGUUGUUUUUGUUCUAAACAGUCAUGCGAUUCCAUUCCUUGUCUCUGAAUCUACAGUAUUUCUCUUCUUCGGGACUCCUUCCAUCCCCAAAACGACACAGCUCUGUCCCCGUUUUAUCUCGCCUCGGGUUCCUGUCCUCUUCUCGGCUUCGCGGUGCUGCUGCUUCCAGUUUCUACUCGCCUCUCAAGUUACAGUUAAAACGAUCAGAAAAUGUACGGAAGCGAAGGAGACGAUCUCGACACGACGUCGUUCAAGUUAACGCUACCGAUGAUGACUCGGCGGGAAUUUCUUCGUUUGAUGACUGGGUGGUUGACGAUUCGGUGGCAGCGUAUAUGUUUUCUUCAUCAAGUGAUGGGGAAGAUAGCGAUGGGGAAAUUUUAUUAAACCCUUUGACUGAGGUGGAUUUGCCACCUGUGAGAGUCUCGACUGAUGAUGCCAUAACCAUGACUACCCAUCGGCUUGCUUUGAUUGGAAGAGGCCAAAGAAGACACAGGAUAUAUCUUGGGCUGUUAAUCAACUUGGCUCUUGUAAUCUUCCUGACAGUGGUUCUUUUAUUUGUGGAUUGGUGCGGAUGGAAAAUUGUCAGGCUACCCUUGGCCCCAUUCUACUUGACCUCCCCAUUUUUCAUAUCUUUGAUUUUGGCGGCAUGUGCAGGUUAUGUUUGUGUCCCGUUGCUUAAAGGUCUUAAGUUCCUCCAAAUAAUUAGGAAAGAAGGACCUGCUAGACAUUCCAGAAAGAAGAGAACCCCAACGAUGGGUGGACUGUUUUUUAUUCCAGCUGGUAUAUCUGUUGCGAAAUUCGUAACUGGUUUUUCUUCUAUUGAAGUUUCUGCUGCCACAGCGGCAACCUUAGCAUUUGCUGCAAUUGGGCUACUUGAUGACGUCUUAAGUUUCAUCAAGCAACAAAACAGUGGCUUAUCUCCGUGGUUAAGACUAUUUUUGGAGGCAACUGUAGGGAUUUGGUUUUCAUUUUGGUUGGAUGCUGCAAGUUUAUCCUCACCCUAUGGCAUGAAAAUGUUGGUUCCUCUACCUCCACCAAUGGGCAUCAUUUACUUGGGAAAAUAUUACCUAUUGUUGACUUCAUUUUGUUUUGUUUCCAUGGGAAAUGGGGUUAACUUAACAGAUGGUCUUGAUGGUCUGGCUGGAGGAACUGCUGCAUUAGCUUUCAUUGGAAUGUCAAUUGCAGUGCUUCCAGUAUGCCCUGGAAGAUGCUGUUAUUUUGGGAAACUAUUUGUUGUCACUCCUUGUAUUCUUACAACUUGCUAUAUUUGGAGCAUCAAUGGCGGGGGCCUGUGUUGGUUUUCUUUUGCACAACCGGUAUAAAGCAUCUGUUUUUAUGGGUGAUACUGGAUCCUUGGCCCUUGGUGGUGCAUUAGCUGCAAUGGCUGCUUGUACCGGAAUGUUCUUUCCCUUAUUCAUUUCAUCAGGUUUCUUUGUUUUGGAAGCAUCAUCGGUUGUUUUGCAGGUGUUAUACUUCAAGACAACAAAGCACUUGCGAGGAAGUGGGCGCCGCCUGUUUAGAAUGGCACCUUUUCAUCAUCAUCUGGAAUUAUUGGGGCUCAAAGAACCAAUGAUUGUUGCUGUUGCAUACAUUGUAUCCUGUGUGUUGGCCUUAUUAGCUGGUUAUAUAGGACUUAUAUCGGCAUAACAUCUGCAAUCAUUUUUACUCACCCCCAAUUUAUUUCCUUAGUUAAAGUCAUAAAAUAUUCAUUUCCUCUUCUUUCUGAAUCUAUUAUUUAAAAUUUUCACCCUUCACACAUUUAGCCUUUACAAAAUUGGAAGAGAAAAUGUACCCACAUACAACUUCUGUAUGCAUUUUUUGACCUGGAGAACUGAUUGUAACAUGAGCCUAUAAGACAAAACACAGCAGUUUAUUUACCUUGGAUGAAUGACAGUUAUACUUUCAGAAGUUCUUUGGUUGUACUUGAGGUCAUCCUCUAAUUAAAUGCAAGAUAUGAUAUAGUAUA